GGUUAAGUUAGAAAGGGCGCACGGUGAAUGCCUUGGCACUAGGAGCCGAUGAAGGACGGGACUAACACCGAUAUGCUUCGGGGAGCUGUAAGUGAGCUUUGAUCCGGAGAUUUCCGAAUGGGGAAACCCACUGUUCGUAAUGGAACAGUAUCUUUAUCUGAAUACAUAGGAUAUUGAAGGCAGACCCGGGGAACUGAAACAUCUAAGUACCCGGAGGAAGAGAAAGCAAAUGCGAUUUCCUGAGUAGCGGCGAGCGAAACGGAAUUAGCCCAAACCAAGAGGCUUGCCUCUUGGGGUUGUAGGACACUCUAUACGGAGUUACAAAGGAACGAAGUAAAUGAAGCGACCUGGAAAGGUCCGUCGAAGAAGGUAACAACCCUGUAGUUGAAACUUCGUUCCCUCUUGAGUGGAUCCUGAGUACGGCGGAACACGUGAAAUUCCGUCGGAAGCUGGGAGGACCAUCUCCCAAGGCUAAAUACUACCUAGUGACCGAUAGUGAACCAGUACCGUGAGGGAAAGGUGAAAAGCACCCCGGAAGGGGAGUGAAAGAGAUCCUGAAACCGUGUGCCUACAAGUAGUCAGAGCCCGUUAACGGGUGAUGGCGUGCCUUUUGUAGAAUGAACCGGCGAGUUACGAUCCCAUGCAAGGUUAAGCUGAUAAGGCGGAGCCGUAGCGAAAGCGAGUCUGAAUAGGGCGUUUAGUAUGUGGUUGUAGACCCGAAACCAGGUGAUCUACCCAUGUCCAGGGUGAAGUUCAGGUAACACUGAAUGGAGGCCCGAACCCACGCACGUUGAAAAGUGCGGGGAUGAGGUGUGGGUAGCGGAGAAAUUCCAAUCGAACCUGGAGAUAGCUGGUUCUCUCCGAAAUAGCUUUAGGGCUAGCCUCAUGUUGUGAGAGUCUUGGAGGUAGAGCACUGAUUGGACUAGGGGCCCCCAACGGGUUACCGAAUUCAGUCAAACUCCGAAUGCCAAAGACUUAUCCAUGGGAGUCAGACUGCGAGUGAUAAGAUCCGUAGUCAAAAGGGAAACAGCCCAGACCACCAGCUAAGGUCCCCAAGUAUACGUUAAGUGGAAAAGGAUGUGGAGUUGCUUAGACAACCAGGAUGUUGGCUUAGAAGCAGCCACCAUUUAAAGAGUGCGUAAUAGCUCACUGGUCGAGUGACUCUGCGCCGAAAAUGUACCGGGGCUAAACGUAUCACCGAAGCUGUGGAUUGACAUCUUUGAUGUCAGUGGUAGGAGAGCGUUCUAAGUGCAGCGAAGUCAGACCGUAAGGACUGGUGGAGCGCUUAGAAGUGAGAAUGCCGGUAUGAGUAGCGAAAGACAAGUGAGAAUCUUGUCCACCGAAUGCCUAAGGUUUCCUGAGGAAGGCUCGUCCGCUCAGGGUUAGUCGGGACCUAAGCCGAGGCUGAAAAGCGUAGGCGAUGGCCAACAGGUUGAUAUUCCUGUACCACCUCCCCGCCGUUUGAGUAAUGGGGGGACGCAGUAGGAUAGGGUAAGCGCGCUGCUGGAUAUGCGCGUUCAAGCAGUUAGGCUGAUGAGUAGGCAAAUCCGCUCAUCAUAAAGGCUGAGCUGUGAUGACGAGGGAAUUAUAGUACCGAAGUUCCUGAUUCCACACUGCCAAGAAAAGCCUCUAGCGAGGCGGGAGGUGCCCGUACCGCAAACCGACACAGGUAGGCGAGGAGAGAAUCCUAAGGUGAUCGAGAGAACUCUCGUUAAGGAACUCGGCAAAAUGACCCCGUAACUUCGGGAGAAGGGGUGCUCUGGUAGGGUGUAUAGCCCGAGAGAGCCGCAGUGAAUAGGCCCAGGCGACUGUUUAGCAAAAACACAGGUCUCUGCGAAGCCGCAAGGCGAAGUAUAGGGGCUGACGCCUGCCCGGUGCUGGAAGGUUAAGAGGAGGGGUUAUCCUUCGGGAGAAGCUCUGAAUCGAAGCCCCAGUAAACGGCGGCCGUAACUAUAACGGUCCUAAGGUAGCGAAAUUCCUUGUCGGGUAAGUUCCGACCCGCACGAAAGGCGUAACGAUCUGGGCACUGUCUCAACGAGAGACUCGGUGAAAUUAUAGUACCUGUGAAGAUGCAGGUUACCCGCGACAGGACGGAAAGACCCCGUGGAGCUUUACUGUAGCCUGAUAUUGAAUUUUGGUACAGCUUGUACAGGAUAGGUAGGAGCCUGAGAAGCCGGAGCGCUAGCUUCGGUGGAGGCGUCGGUGGGAUACUACCCUGGCUGUAUUGAAAUUCUAACCCGCGGCCCUGAUCGGGCCGGGAGACAGUGUCAGGUGGGCAGUUUGACUGGGGCGGUCGCCUCCUAAAAUGUAACGGAGGCGCCCAAAGGUUCCCUCAGAAUGGUUGGAAAUCAUUCGUAGAGUGUAAAGGCACAAGGGAGCUUGACUGCGAGACCUACAAGUCGAGCAGGGACGAAAGUCGGGCUUAGUGAUCCGGUGGUUCCGCAUGGAAGGGCCAUCGCUCAACGGAUAAAAGCUACCCCGGGGAUAACAGGCUUAUCUCCCCCAAGAGUCCACAUCGACGGGGAGGUUUGGCACCUCGAUGUCGGCUCAUCGCAUCCUGGGGCUGUAGUCGGUCCCAAGGGUUGGGCUGUUCGCCCAUUAAAGCGGUACGCGAGCUGGGUUCAGAACGUCGUGAGACAGUUCGGUCCCUAUCCGUCGUGGGCGUAGGAAAUUUGAGAGGAGCUGUCCUUAGUACGAGAGGACCGGGAUGGACACACCGCUGGUGUACCAGUUGUCUUGCCAAAGGCAUCGCUGGGUAGCUAUGUGUGGACGGGAUAAGUGCUGAAAGCAUCUAAGCAUGAAGCCCCCCUCAAGAUGAGAUUUCCCAUAGCGCAAGCUAGUAAGAUCCCUGAAAGAUGAUCAGGUUGAUAGGUCAGAGGUGGAAGCGUGGCGACAUGUGUAGCUGACUGAUACUAAUCGAUCGAGGACUUAACCAA
RNAcentral lists this ribosomal RNA (2936 nucleotides) under Priestia megaterium. RNAcentral describes it as "23S ribosomal RNA". It matches the Rfam family "Bacterial large subunit ribosomal RNA". Lineage: Bacteria; Bacillati; Bacillota; Bacilli; Caryophanales; Bacillaceae. RNAcentral also lists the same sequence under 1 other name. The record is from RNAcentral.